Molecule: non-coding RNA, 3107 nt
Organism: Delphinapterus leucas (beluga whale)
Lineage: Eukaryota; Metazoa; Chordata; Mammalia; Artiodactyla; Monodontidae
Source: RefSeq, a predicted model, not a curated record
UGGCCCCGAGGUAAGUAUUUUUACUCCAUUUUAUAAGAAGGAAAUGAAGACUCAAAGAGGUUGCUUGCACAGCUACGAUUGGAACACAACAAUAAUAAAUAACACAGUGAUUACCUGUUAUGUUCCAGGCCUUAAACACGCUGCGUGUUUUCACUCCUUUAAUGCACAGGAUGCCACUUUACAGCUGAGGAACUGAGGCAGAGAGAAUAAAUUACUUGCCCAAAGUCCCCCCCAAGUACAGCGUGAACUGACAGCUGCAGUAGAGUGCAGGCCGGCUGGCUGCCCGCCCAGGGGCCCAACCACAGCACGUGCCGCUCUUGCUUGUGCAUCAUACCCCGCCCCCUGCCGCAAUGGGAGAGUCUUGGCCGCACGGACGCCCGCCUCCCACUGCCAAAGGCUGCCAUCACCAUCCAGAAAGUCCUUGAGAACGGCAGGUCUAUUAAGAGUCAGCCCCGGGAGAAACACAAGCCUCUAUAAUAUAUCAUCCCUCUGUACUUGAAUUUUCAAGACAGAAUGAAUGUUGAUUUUCCUUUGUUCUGUUUUUUUUGUUGUAGAGAAGUCAAGUAACUUGCUCAAAGUCGCACAGCUGCUAAGUGGUGGAGCUGGGAUUUGAACUCAGCCAUUCUGUCUCCCAAGUCUGUGUUCUGAACCACCACAAAGUACCAUGUUUCUCUGGUUUAAACAGAUUCAGGACUCCGCGAUGUACUCCUCUCCCAAAACGCUUCUCCUAAGGAAAUCCUGGCAUCGUCUGCGUGGUGAUGUUCCUCUGUGGCGUGGACACGGCGGGUCCAGGAGAUCAGCAGAAACCUACCGUGGGUCCCAGUGGCCUUUCAGGUCAGAUCCAAGGCCUUAGUCACGGGCUUUCGGAGCCAUUGCGCCUCACGCCAGACACUCACCUCAGACCAGCAAACCCUCGCUUCCCACCCACCCGGCUCCCUGCAGCCUCUGACAUUUUCCACUUGCUGUUCCUCGAAGCUGAGAAGAUUUUCUUUCUUCUUUUCACCAAACACAUCUUUGCCUUUCCUCCAAAUUCUCCUCUACCAUUGGCUUCCACAAGCCAUCAGCAUCAACGCCAAGAACAAUGUCAGCAUCAUCGCCAUCUUUUCCCAGGUUCCAGGAUGUGGUGACGGCAGAUUGUAAAAUGCUCCCAUGACGCAAAUGAAGUUAUACGGACUCCCGACACAGGUAACCACCCUUGGACAAUAAUGACUGCACUUGCACAUAAAUUACCGGCUUUGAUCCUAACAACCUCCCAUCCACACCUUUUUCCUCCUGCGGUGACACUUCAAGGUGCUCUGCUGGCUUCUCCAAGGAUUCCUGAUGAGAAAACCCAACACCGAUUUUCAGGUCUCUCCUCGAUGGCCGCUUGGUGGCACCUGACACUCCCACCCCUGUUUUCUUAAACCUUUCCACCCUCUUGACUUUAAUUUUCUUGCCUGCCUCUGUGACUCGCCCAGCUCGCCUCCUCCAGCCCCUCUCCUCCUCCUCCUGCAGCGAGGGUGCUCACAGGUCCAGCUCCUUCACCUGUGGCUGAGCUACAACCCAUAUCCUAGUGACCCCAAGUCUGGGUCUCUCCUCCUCAACUCUCCUGGGUCCCAGGGCCACUGUCCGUGUCCCCACUGGCUCCCAAACCAGAAUCCAGCAAACUCAUCAACCAUGAAUGGAUUGCCUUCCACCUGCAAUGAAAAUUGGUAAGACACACGCCCUGCCCACCCUCUACAUCCAUCUCAAACUCGAUAUUUCGUUUUCUUUGUGCAACUACUCCUUCUAUGGGUCCUGUUUAGGGUCUAGUUGUCCAGAGUAGAAACCUCAGAGCCACUCUUAGUGUCUUCCCCCCUCAAGUUCCCCGUCUGACCUGAGAGCAACCCCUGCUGCUUUAGCACCACCCACCUCUCUCCCCCUGCCUCGACUCCAACCUGCUACGAUUUCCUUAAUUCCAGCUCUCCUCAUCUCUGGUCGUGAACUAUUGCAGUUACCUCUUUUCUGGUUGCCCUUCCUCUCUUUCCCUGUUCCAAUCUUUACACGGUCUAACACGGAAACAGUCAGGUCACUGACUGUCGACAGUACCAUUUCCCAAAGCUAUAGUCCACACUCUUGGACAUGAAUACAAUGCCUUUCCCAGCCUGGCCCCCAUCAACCUUAACAGCUACAUAGUCCCCCGCAUCCUCUCCCUCCUCCUUCUCUCUUCACUCUUAGCUCCAGACAGACCAAGCUUCCUUCUGUUUCCUGAGACUGCAGUCUCAUUCAGUCUCCAUACCUCUGCAAAUACAGUUUCUCCAACGUGGAUGGCCUUUAUCCUACUUUCUGCUUGGUGAGCCCUCAUUCAUUCACGGGGUCCAGCUCACCUCCACCAUGAAGCUUCUGAGGACUCCUCUGCCUGUGGAGAGACACACCCUUCCCUCCCGCUCCUGGACCGCUGUGCUCCAUGCGCACGCCCCUCCGUGGGACAAGCAUUCCUCGCCUGUGGGUCUCAGGACGGCUCAUCUUUGAGCCCUCAGCGCCUAAUACAGGGCCUGGCACUGCAGGUGCCCGUCUCUCUUCUGAACAAAUUAAAUCUCAUGGCACCAAAUGACACCCCCUGGAUAAUCAAGUGCAGGUAGGGUGGGGAAGCACAGCCCCUAAUUCAGAUUCUUUGUUCGUCUCCAGUUGCAACCUCAUUGAAAUUUUCACCUUUCCUGGAUAAGUGUGAACACUUGGAGAGGAAAGAGGAAAAAUUCUCAUUUCAAUGAAUCUUCUCUCCCCAGCGGACUCAAUCUACCUUUCUCUGUGGGUUGUAAAACUCAUUGAUCCAGUGGCAUGUGUUUUAGGUAUCCCAUGUAAAGUUCAGUUUUCUACUAGAGUGGCUGUAACUCAUUUUGUGCUAAAAUCAUGCAGAUAUUGGUCUGGUUCGUAGUUGACUCUCUUUUCUGGCAUAUGAAUUAAGGAUAAUUUAGAGAAAUAUAGGCACCGUGAUAUUUGUGGGUAGGUUUUCCUUUGCUUCAAUCUCUGGCGAGAUGACCCUUGCAUAUGUCAGGUUUUGAAGUCAGACACUCCGGGUUUAAAUCUGGCUCCAUCAGUGUGUGACCUGUAGCAUGUCUCUUUCUGCCUCAGUUUCCUCAUCUGUAAAA